Myripristis murdjan (pinecone soldierfish) is the source of this 609-nucleotide long non-coding RNA. RefSeq lists it as uncharacterized. The record is from RefSeq and is a predicted model, not a curated record. NCBI's taxonomy places the organism in Eukaryota, Metazoa, Chordata, Actinopteri, Holocentriformes, Holocentridae. The transcript has 5 exons.
CAGACAGUGGAGGCAGGAAACUGCAGAAGACAGACUGAGGAGGAUGAAGUUGAGGGGAGAAGCAGGUGUGCAGGAGGACUGUGUACUCCAUGUCACUGUUGGGUGGACAGUGGAGAGGAAACCCACAAAUAAAGCUAUGCUGAGUUUAUGAGAGCUAUGAACAGAUCCAGUGUCACAGUGUCCCUGGCAGAGUCGGCAUUGUCUCAGCUGUCAGUGUUUGAUAAUACCAGAGAAGAAUAUGUGAUAAUCAAAUAUGGUUGUCACACACAUACUAUGGAGCCAGAAUACUGGGGCCAUACAAUGAAGAGAGAACCUGUGUGGAACUGUCCUUUGAAACUGGGUGUCCUUUUAGUCCCAAAAGCCUAAUCUAUCCGCACAAACUGGAACUGAGGUGUCUGGGGACAGUCUCAUGAAGCAAGAUGCAUCUGUUAGUGAACUGACUUUGGGUGUCAUCCCAGGUUUUCAGUCUCAGGUCAGUGGUUCAAGCAGAGUAUAUUGCCAUGGUAACUUAGACUGAACACCCAAACUGCUUCAAACAUACCAAAACCUGGCACCACAGCUGGCAACUCUUUGUGAAAAUCUUCACUCCCAGAAGAUCCCAUGUAGUUG